UAGGGAAUCUUCGGCAAUGGGGGCAACCCUGACCGAGCAACGCCGCGUGAGUGAAGAAGGUUUUCGGAUCGUAAAGCUCUGUUGUAAGAGAAGAACGUGUGUGAGAGUGGAAAGUUCACACAGUGACGGUAACUUACCAGAAAGGGACGGCUAACUACGUGCCAGCAGCCGAGGUAAUACGUAGGUCCCGAGCGUUGUCCGGAUUUAUUGGGCGUAAAGCGAGCGCAGGCGGUUUAAUAAGUCUGAAGUUAAAGGCAGUGGCUUAACCAUUGUUCGCUUUGGAAACUGUUAAACUUGAGUGCAGAAGGGGAGAGUGGAAUUCCAUGUGAAGCGGUGAAAUGCGUAGAUAUAUGGAGGAACACCGGUGGCGACAGCGGCUCUCUGGUAUGUAACUGACGCUGAGGCUCGAAAGAGUGGGGAGCAAACAGG
This 429-nucleotide ribosomal RNA is filed under the name bacterium. RNAcentral's name for it is "partial 16S ribosomal RNA". It matches the Rfam family "Bacterial small subunit ribosomal RNA", at positions 355 to 776 of the family's 1533-position model. The record is from RNAcentral.